CGAUCAAUGGCCACCACACAGCUGCAUCGGCUGCUGCCGCUCCUCCUCUUCCUCCCAUUCUUCUACCUCGCCGGCGGACGGCGGCACACCACCACCUCCCCGCCGCGCCGGCGCGACGCGCCCUCCGGUGGUCUCCCCCCGGUCGUGCUGCUGCCGGGGAGCACCUGCAGCUAGCUGGAGGCACGCCUCACGGACGCCUACGUGCCGCCGUCGCCGCAAUGCGCCGCGCACCACCACGAGGCCGACGGCCGGUGGUUCCGGCUGUGGAAGAACACCACGGAGCUGGACGACCCCGUCGUCGCGCGCGCCCUGCGUCGCCGACCAGCUCCGCCUCGUCUUCGACCACGCCGCCGGUGACUACCACGGCGUCCCCGGCGUGGAGACUCGUGUCCUGGACUUCGGCUCCACCCGUGGGUUCCUCGCCGACGUGCCCGCCAACAGUUCAGCUCGCCGAGACUACUGUCUCCCAUGAAUUGCGCCAACAAAAACACAUCGAUCGUGACGAGAAAUACUGUGGUUUGUACACGCGAGCAGAGACCUCUGCAUGGGAAGGCUCGUCGAGGCGUUGGAGAAAGUCGGCUACCGCGACGGCGAGACCUUGUUCGGCGCGCCGUACGACUUCCGGCAGGCGCCAGCGGCACCGGGGAAGCCGUGCAGGGCGUUCUCGCGGUUCCGGCGUCAGCUCCGGGCGCUUGUCGAGCACGCGAGCAGGACGAACGGGGACCAACCGGUCGUCCUCGUGUCGCACAGCCAGGGCGGCUACUUCGCGCUCGAGUUCAUCAACCGGAGCCCCAUGGCGUGGCGCCGGAGGCACGUCAAGCACUUCGUCAUGGCGUCCACCGGCGCCGGCGGGUUCGUGCUGGGAUUGCAGUCCCUGGUCUCCGGCGUCAGCGACGCCUCCCCGAUGGGCCUUGCCGGGAGGAGCCUCGCCUGCAAGUUCACGUCGCUGCCGUCACCCAAGGUGUUCGACCGCGACACGCCGCUGGUGGUCACGCGGGACAAGAACUACCGGAGCUCCUGACGGCAGUCGGUCUCCCGGCGUACGAGGUGACGCUAUACAAGACGAGGGCGCUGCCGGUGGCGAUGAAUUUCAGGGCGCCGGCGGUGCCGACGACGUGCAUCAACGGCGUCGGCGUGCCGACGACGGAGAAGCUGGUGUACUGGGACGGCGACUUCAGCCAGGCCCCGGAGAUCGUGUACGGCGACGGCGAUGGGGUCGUCAAUUCGGCGAGCAUACUGGCUCUCGACACGGUGAUCGGCGAAGAUCCGAGGCAGGGGUACUACAAGUCCGUCAAGAUCGCCGGCACGUCUCACGACGGCGUUGUCUCUGAUGGUGCCGCCUUGGAGCGUCUGGUUAGUGAGAUUCCUCGGGAGAAUUUUGUGCAAGCUUCGAAGGAGGAGGAUAGUCGGGUUGCUCAACUGUAAUUUAUCAGCACUGGGAUUCCUAUUAGUUGAUCACUUCAUUCUCUUCAACUCAUCGUACACGGCCAGACAAUAAUUCCGCCGUGUUUAGUUACAAAGUUUUUCUUCAAACUUUCAACUUUUUCAUCAUAUCAAAACUUUGCUACACACAAAAACUUCCAAUUUUUCCGUCA
Non-coding RNA from Oryza sativa Japonica Group (Japanese rice), 1595 nucleotides. The record is from RefSeq and is a predicted model, not a curated record. NCBI's taxonomy places the organism in Eukaryota, Viridiplantae, Streptophyta, Magnoliopsida, Poales, Poaceae.